CACGUAGUUAGCCGGUGGCUUCCUCAUUAGGUACCGUCAUUAUCGUCCCUAAUGACAGAGUUUUACGAUCCGAAAACCUUCAUCACUCACGCGGCGUUGCUGCGUCAGGGUUUCCCCCAUUGCGCAAUAUUCCCCACUGCUGCCUCCCGUAGGAGUCUGGACCGUGUCUCAGUUCCAAUGUGGCCGAUCACCCUCUCAGGUCGGCUACGCAUCGUUGCCUUGGUGAGCCGUUACCUCACCAACUAGCUAAUGCGCCGCGGGUCCAUCUCAAAGCGGAUUGCUCCUUUGAUUAUUCUACGAUGCCAUAAAAUAAUGUUAUGCGGUAUUAAUCUCCUUUCGGAAGCUAUCCCACUCUUUGAGGCAGGUUACCCACGUGUUACUCACCCGUCCGCCGCUAAUCCACUUCCCGAAGGAGCUUCAUCGCUCGACUUGCAUGUGUUAGGCACGCCGCCAGCGUUCGUCCUGACGCCAGGAUCAACUCU
This 482-nucleotide ribosomal RNA is filed under the name uncultured Clostridium sp. Its description in RNAcentral is "partial 16S ribosomal RNA". Lineage: Bacteria; Bacillati; Bacillota; Clostridia; Eubacteriales; Clostridiaceae. The record is from RNAcentral.